CAGGCUUAACACAUGCAAGUCGAGGGGCAGCAUUUUAGUUUGCUUGCAAACUAAAGAUGGCGACCGGCGCACGGGUGAGUAACACGUAUCCAACCUGCCGAUAACUCGGGGAUAGCCUUUCGAAAGAAAGAUUAAUAUCCGAUAGUAUAUUAAAACCGCAUGGUUUUACUAUUAAAGAAUUUCGGUUAUCGAUGGGGAUGCGUUCCAUUAGUUUGUUGGCGGGGUAACGGCCCACCAAGACUACGAUGGAUAGGGGUUCUGAGAGGAAGGUCCCCCACAUUGGAACUGAGACACGGUCCAAACUCCUACGGGAGGCAGCAGUGAGGAAUAUUGGUCAAUGGACGAGAGUCUGAACCAGCCAAGUAGCGUGAAGGAUGACUGCCCUAUGGGUUGUAAACUUCUUUUAUAUGGGAAUAAAGUAUUCCACGUGUGGAAUUUUGUAUGUACCAUAUGAAUAAGGAUCGGCUAACUCCGUGCCAGCAGCCGCGGUAAUACGGAGGAUCCGAGCGUUAUCCGGAUUUAUUGGGUUUAAAGGGAGCGUAGGUGGAUUGUUAAGUCAGUUGUGAAAGUUUGCGGCUCAACCGUAAAAUUGCAGUUGAAACUGGCAGUCUUGAGUACAGUAGAGGUGGGCGGAAUUCGUGGUGUAGCGGUGAAAUGCUUAGAUAUCACGAAGAACUCCGAUUGCGAAGGCAGCUCACUAGACUGCAACUGACACUGAUGCUCGAAAGUGUGGGUAUCAAACAGGAUUAGAUACCCUGGUAGUCCACACAGUAAACGAUGAAUACUCGCUGUUUGCGAUGUACAGUAAGCGGCCAAGCGAAAGCAUUAAGUAUUCCACCUGGGGAGUACGCCGGCAACGGUGAAACUCAAAGGAAUUGACGGGGGCCCGCACAAGCGGAGGAACAUGUGGUUUAAUUCGAUGAUACGCGAGGAACCUUACCCGGGCUUAAAUUGCAUUUGAAUAAUCUGGAAACAGGUUAGCCGCAAGGCAAAUGUGAAGGUGCUGCAUGGUUGUCGUCAGCUCGUGCCGUGAGGUGUCGGCUUAAGUGCCAUAACGAGCGCAACCCUUAUCUUUAGUUACUAACAGGUCAUGCUGAGGACUCUAGAGAGACUGCCGUCGUAAGAUGUGAGGAAGGUGGGGAUGACGUCAAAUCAGCACGGCCCUUACGUCCGGGGCUACACACGUGUUACAAUGGGGGUACAGAAGGCAGCUACCUGGCGACAGGAUGCUAAUCCCAAAAACCUCUCUCAGUUCGGAUCGAAGUCUGCAACCCGACUUCGUGAAGCUGGAUUCGCUAGUAAUCGCGCAUCAGCCAUGGCGCGGUGAAUACGUUCCCGGGCCUUGUACACACCGCCCGUCAAGCCAUGAAAGCCGGGGGUACCUGAAGUACGUAACCGCAAGGAGCGUCCUAGGGUAAAACUGGUAAUUGGGGCUAAGUCAUAAC
This 1445-nucleotide ribosomal RNA is filed under the name uncultured organism. RNAcentral's name for it is "16S ribosomal RNA". It matches the Rfam family "Bacterial small subunit ribosomal RNA". The record is from RNAcentral.